ACGCAGCCCGACCUGAACGGAGCUCUUUUUCUUUUUUAGCAAAAAAAGAAAAAAGCGGGAGUGGAGGGCGGAUAAGCU
RNAcentral lists this small RNA (78 nucleotides) under Epilithonimonas arachidiradicis. RNAcentral's name for it is "Chryseobacterium arachidiradicis Flavo-1 RNA". Lineage: Bacteria; Pseudomonadati; Bacteroidota; Flavobacteriia; Flavobacteriales; Weeksellaceae. The record is from RNAcentral.